This 345-nucleotide ribosomal RNA is filed under the name uncultured bacterium. RNAcentral describes it as "partial 16S ribosomal RNA". It matches the Rfam family "Bacterial small subunit ribosomal RNA", at positions 338 to 680 of the family's 1533-position model. The record is from RNAcentral.
CCUACGGGCGGCAGCAGUGAGGAAUAUUGGUCAAUGGGCGCGAGCCUGAACCAGCCAAGUAGCGUGAAGGAUGACUGCCCUACGGGUUGUAAACUUCUUUUAUAAAGGAAUAAAGUGAGGCACGUGUGCCUUUUUGUAUGUACUUUAUGAAUAAGGAUCGGCUAACUCCGUGCCAGCAGCCGCGGUAAUACGGAGGAUCCGAGCGUUAUCCGGAUUUAUUGGGUUUAAAGGGAGCGUAGAUGGGUUGUUAAGUCAGUUGUGAAAGUUUGCGGCUCAACCGUAAAAUUGCCAUUGAUACUGGCAUCCUUGAGUACAGUUGAGGUAGUCUGCUUUCGUGGUGUCGCG